GCAAACUUGGUCAUUUAGAGGAAGUAAAAGUCGUAACAAGGUUUCCGUAGGUGAACCUGCGGAAGGAUCAUUAACGUAUCUCUGACGGGGGUUGGGCGGCCCUGCUCCGGCUCCGGCCGUGCAGCGGGUCCCCGCUCCCGGACACACACAAACCCCACUGUGCACCUUUCGUGGUGGGAGGACGUGGCGCGAGCCCGUCCGAACCCGCGGUCUCACAGACACGAGUUUAAGAAUGUUCAGCGGACUCUGUUUCCGCCCACAAAUGUAACAACUUUCAACAACGGAUCUCUUGGCUCUCGCAUCGAUGAAGAACGCAGC
This 318-nucleotide unclassified non-coding RNA is filed under the name uncultured fungus. Its description in RNAcentral is "partial contains small subunit ribosomal RNA, internal transcribed spacer 1, and 5.8S ribosomal RNA". The stretch from base 1 to 73 matches the Rfam family "Eukaryotic small subunit ribosomal RNA", at positions 1759 to 1831 of the family's 1831-position model. The record is from RNAcentral. Lineage: Eukaryota; Fungi.